This is a long non-coding RNA of Halichondria panicea, 1057 nucleotides long. RefSeq lists it as uncharacterized. The record is from RefSeq and is a predicted model, not a curated record. The transcript is spliced from 3 exons. NCBI's taxonomy places the organism in Eukaryota, Metazoa, Porifera, Demospongiae, Suberitida, Halichondriidae.
ACACACACAGUUCACACCAAGUAACAUAUAAAACCUAGCGCUUAAAAACGCUUUUUUAAAGGUCUCCUAUGACGUUUCGUUUUCGUAUUAUUUUCGCUUUCGUAUUACAUUGUUAGAAUUUGCAUGAUGGUAACUACCUACCAAAUAACGAACACACACACACACACACACACACUUGUUGUUCCCGCAAUGCAAUCAAAGGCUAACACUGUGUAUCCAGAGGAGGUUUGACAGGUGCAGUGCAGCUCAAGCAAUUAGUUUCGUAAAUAAGUGAUAGAGGCCAUAAGGAGGACAUACGUGUGUCGAGGCUGGAGGUGGCCCGUGUGCUGAGGGAGAGAAAUGAGUACAAAGAGAAGUACCUCUCACUAUUGGAGCAGAUUAGGUAAAGGGUCAUCGUGUAGUGUUUGUAAAGCGGUCAUAAUAAUCCAUAAUAACUUCGUAAUACAUGCUAACAAGUGUGUAUCUGUACAAUAGUGUGUAGCCUGGCAACUCUUGCAAGGAUUGCCACUGGCUUGAAGCUAAUCAUACAAUGUGUAGUUUGGUCCUCAGGAUGUGUAAAGUCAUAAUGCAUAAUAACUUUAAUUUUGCGUAAUACAUGCUAAUACUGUUUAUCUGUACUAUCAUUUGUAUUUCUCUGUUGCACAGGAUGAGUGCUGACUCGGCUCUGUUUAGAAAUCAAAGUGGCUCGACUAUUAUGCGGCCAUUUUUCAGCCCGGCCAAGUGUUGUGGAGACAAGAAGAGGCACUGAGAAUGGAGGUAGAGGUACAGAGUACAUCAGCUGGAAAAUGCAUUUGUGUCAUACUUUGUAGAGUCCCUUAAAGUCAUUCAAGGCCUACUUAUGCUGCUAAGAAAGAGAGGGGCCUCACGCAAACUGACCACUCAGUGUGACUAUGACCAUGUGACUCUUUAACCCCUCAGUUCCCGAGCCCCACCCCUCACUGUCUGACUCGGAAGAGGAGAUAGACUUUGUAUUCUGGGAGAAGGCGUCCACCCUACCCUCGGACAAGACCCCAACCAAGGACCUGAACUUGUUAUGAGACUGUUAAAUAUUAUUUUG